Molecule: ribosomal RNA, 465 nt
Filed under: Vreelandella stevensii
Lineage: Bacteria; Pseudomonadati; Pseudomonadota; Gammaproteobacteria; Oceanospirillales; Halomonadaceae
Description: partial 16S ribosomal RNA
Rfam family: Bacterial small subunit ribosomal RNA
Source: RNAcentral
CCUACGGGAGGCAGCAGUGGGGAAUAUUGGACAAUGGGGGGAACCCUGAUCCAGCCAUGCCGCGUGUGUGAAGAAGGCCCUCGGGUUGUAAAGCACUUUCAGUGAGGAAGAACGCCUGGUGGUUAAUACCCAUCAGGAAAGACAUCACUCACAGAAGAAGCACCGGCUAACUCCGUGCCAGCAGCCGCGGUAAUACGGAGGGUGCGAGCGUUAAUCGGAAUUACUGGGCGUAAAGCGCGCGUAGGUGGCUUGAUAAGCCGGUUGUGAAAGCCCCGGGCUCAACCUGGGAACGGCAUCCGGAACUGUCAAGCUAGAGUGCAGGAGAGGAAGGUAGAAUUCCCGGUGUAGCGGUGAAAUGCGUAGAGAUCGGGAGGAAUACCAGUGGCGAAGGCGGCCUUCUGGACUGACACUGACACUGAGGUGCGAAAGCGUGCGUAGCAAACAGGAUUAGAUACCCUUGUAGUC